GCCGCGUGUGUGAAGAAGGCCUUCGGGUUGUAAAGCACUUUCAGUCGUGAGGAAGGUGGUGUAGUUAAUAGCUGCAUUAUUUGACGUUAGCGACAGAAGAAGCACCGGCUAACUCCGUGCCAGCAGCCGCGGUAAUACGGAGGGUGCGAGCGUUAAUCGGAAUUACUGGGCGUAAAGCGCAUGCAGGUGGUUUGUUAAGUCAGAUGUGAAAGCCCGGGGCUCAACCUCGGAAUAGCAUUUGAAACUGGCAGACUAGAGUACUGUAGAGGGGGGUAGAAUUUCAGGUGUAGCGGUGAAAUGCGUAGAGAUCUGAAGGAAUACCGGUGGCGAAGGCGGCCCCCUGGACAGAUACUGACACUCAGAUGCGAAAGCGUGGGGAGCAAACAGGAUUAGAUACCCUGGUAGUCCACGCCGUAAACGAUGUCUACUUGGAGGUUGUGGCCUUGAGCCGUGGCUUUCGGAGCUAACGCGUUAAGUAGACCGCCUGGGGAGUACGGUCGCAAGAUUAAAACUCAAAUGAAUUGACGGGGGCCCGCACAAGCGGUGGAGCAUGUGGUUUAAUUCGAUGCAACGCGAAGAACCUUACCUACUCUUGACAUCCAGAGAACUUUCCAGAGAUGGAUUGGUGCCUUCGGGAACUCUGAGACAGGUGCUGCAUGGCUGUCGUCAGCUCGUGUUGUGAAAUGUUGGGUUAAGUCCCGCAACGAGCGCAACCCUUAUCCUUGUUUGCCAGCGAGUAAUGUCGGGAACUCCAGGGAGACUGCCGGUGAUAAACCGGAGGAAGGUGGGGACGACGUCAAGUCAUCAUGGCCCUUACGAGUAGGGCUACACACGUGCUACAAUGGCGCAUACAGAGGGCGGCCAACUUGCGAGAGUGAGCGAAUCCCAAAAAGUGCGUCGUAGUCCGGAUUGGAGUCUGCAACUCGACUCCAUGAAGUCGGAAUCGCUAGUAAUCGUGGAUCAGAAUGCCACGGUGAAUACGUUCCCGGGCCUUGUACANACCGCCCGUCACACCAUGGAUGGGCUGCAAAAGAAGUAGGUAGUUUAACCUUCGGGGGGACGCUUACCACUUUGUGGUUCAUGACUGGGG
Molecule: ribosomal RNA, 1090 nt
Filed under: Vibrio sp. 7326M
Lineage: Bacteria; Pseudomonadati; Pseudomonadota; Gammaproteobacteria; Vibrionales; Vibrionaceae
Description: bacterial SSU rRNA
Rfam family: Bacterial small subunit ribosomal RNA
Source: RNAcentral